CCUAGGGUGGCUGCAGUGAGGAAUAUUGGUCAAUGGGCGCUAGCCUGAACCAGCCAAGUAGCGUGAAGGAUGACUGCCCUAUGGGUUGUAAACUUCUUUUAUAUGGGAAUAAAGUGCAGUAUGUAUACUGCUUUGCAUGUACCUUAUGACUCAGGAUCGGCAACCUCCGUUCCAGCAGCCGCGGUAAUACGGAGGAUCCGAGCGUUAUCCGGAUUUAUUGGGUUGAAGGGGAACGUAGGCGGGUUGUUAAGUCAGUUGUGAAAGUGUGCGGCUCAAACGUGAAAUUGCAGUUGAUACUGGCAUCCUUGAGUACAGUAGAGGUAGGCGGAAUUCGUGGUGUAGCGGUGAAAUGCUUAGAGAUCACGAAGAACUCCGAUGGCGAAGGCAGCCUGCUGGACUGUAACUGACGCGGAUGCGCGAAAGUGUGGGUAUCAAACAGGAUUAGAUACCCUGGUAGUC
RNAcentral lists this ribosomal RNA (459 nucleotides) under uncultured bacterium. RNAcentral's name for it is "partial 16S ribosomal RNA". It matches the Rfam family "Bacterial small subunit ribosomal RNA", at positions 338 to 795 of the family's 1533-position model. The record is from RNAcentral.